AUAACAACUGGUCAAAAAAAAAAAUCUAACAUUAACAAGUGUAACGUUUUGCAAACCUUAAACACCGCACUGUUGUUGAGUCAGAAAAACCGAAAAACAUUAAACUCCGUAACACAAAAGAAGGUUCUAGUAAUUAUCGUACAAUCUUUGUUCGUGAACUUUGAAACAGUUGUGGAGGGAGGAAGGUACUACUACUACUAUCAUCCACUAAAAUCUACACCUCACUUCUUUAUUCUAUCUAAUACUAUUUCACUAUUCAUCCCAACUAUUUUCCUUAAAACCUCAAUUUUCAAUCUCCCAUCGUUUUUUCUCUUUCUCUUGGAAAAUGCUAUAACCUUCAACAAAGGUAAUGAUUCUCAACUUCAUUCUAUACUAUUCUAUUGUAUUGUGUUACUCUCUUAUAGCUUAAUGAAAGAGGCCUCAUUGGGGUUCUUGUUUUUUUUUUUUUUUUUUCAAUGUUGUAA
This is a non-coding RNA of Vicia faba (fava bean), 464 nucleotides long. The record is from the annotation of a GenBank genome assembly. Lineage: Eukaryota; Viridiplantae; Streptophyta; Magnoliopsida; Fabales; Fabaceae.